RNAcentral lists this ribosomal RNA (324 nucleotides) under Triticum aestivum (bread wheat). Its description in RNAcentral is "partial small subunit ribosomal RNA". Lineage: Eukaryota; Viridiplantae; Streptophyta; Magnoliopsida; Poales; Poaceae. The record is from RNAcentral.
GAGACGAGUACUGAGAGAGCUGCUUCUAGAGAGGAGGCUAAGCUAGAGCAACUGGUGGUAGACUCGAACACUCCAUUGUAUGAUGGUUGCAAUCCUAAGGUGACCCGCUUGAGUUUCACGCUCCAACUCCUGAAGACAAAGGCUAAAAACAAAUGGACCGACACUAGCCUCGAUGCGCAUCUCAAGUACCUAAAGGAUGUUCUUCCCGCGGGUAAUCUAUGUCCUAGUAGUGUUGAUGAGGCCAAGAAGAUCGUGUGCCCUCUUGAUCUGCCACACGUUAGAUACCAUGCAUGCAUCAACGAUUGCAUAAUUUAUCGGAAGGAG